RNAcentral lists this ribosomal RNA (468 nucleotides) under uncultured bacterium. RNAcentral's name for it is "partial 16S ribosomal RNA". It matches the Rfam family "Bacterial small subunit ribosomal RNA", at positions 28 to 507 of the family's 1533-position model. The record is from RNAcentral.
GACGAACGCUGGCGGCGUGCUUAACACAUGCAAGUCGAACGGACAGGCCCUGCUCUUGUGGGGUGCUCGAUUGGCGAACGGGUGAGUAACACGUGUGUAACCUGCCCCUGACUUUGGGAUAACUUCUGGAAACUGCGGCUCAUACCGCAUAGGAGCUCCUGCUGCAUGUGGGGGGUUGGAAAGUUACGGCGGUUGUGGAUGGACUCGCGGCUUAUCAGCUUGUUGGGGGGGUAGGGGCUGACCAAGGCUUUGACGGGUAGCCGGCAUGGGAGGGGGACCGGCCACAUUGGGACUGAGAUACGGCCCAGAAUGCUACGGGACGCAGCAGUGGGGAAUAUUGCAGAGUGGGCGGAAGCCUGAUGCAGCAACGCCGCGUGCGGGAUGACGGCCUUCGAGUUGUAAACCGCUUUCGCCGGUGACGAAGCGUGAGUGACGGUAAUGGGUAAAGAAGCACCGGCUAACUACGUG